This 22-nucleotide microRNA is filed under the name Haliotis rufescens (red abalone). RNAcentral's name for it is "Hru-Mir-193-P2_3p (mature (guide))". The record is from RNAcentral. RNAcentral also lists the same sequence under 1 other name. Lineage: Eukaryota; Metazoa; Mollusca; Gastropoda; Lepetellida; Haliotidae.
AAAUGCCCCCAGAAAUCCUAAA